This 5426-nucleotide small RNA is filed under the name Rattus norvegicus (Norway rat). RNAcentral's name for it is "uncharacterized LOC102556249". Lineage: Eukaryota; Metazoa; Chordata; Mammalia; Rodentia; Muridae. The record is from RNAcentral.
UCCCCGGACGCGCGGCCCCCCCACCCGCGGCCCCGCGCGCCUCUCCCUGACACCACCCUCCGCGGCCCCCUCCGGACCCUCUGGCCCCCAAGACGCCCCUCCGGCCCUCCCCUAGGAGAGGGGGCCCUCGCCAAGUCUCCGCCUUCCUGCCCUCCUCCUGUCAAUGCCGCUGUCCAGAGCUCGCAGCCCUGGGAACGCCACUCCAGCGGGGCCUCCUUCUCCUGGGACCCCCUGGGCCCCACCCCCAGGACCUCCCACCUCUGCAAACCCCGAGUUUGCUUUUCCCAUCCACCGGGCAGCUCUUCUCCACGCCCACCUGGCUGGACCCGGGAAACCGAAGAAGUUAGUGGGGGUUCACCAGUAGGAAUCGGUAUGAGGGAGAGCCUGGAGGAGGAAAUGGGGAAAGGGGAAAUGUUCAGAAGGAAUGGAGGACAGCGAGCAGGGUAUUCGGGGAUGGAGGACCAAGUGUGUUUCUUUGGGAAGUGCUGGCAUGUAGGGGUGUGUGCUGUGUACCUGUGUGAAGGAUGUACGCAGAAUGUAGAGUAUGGGGUACGUGAGGGUGGUGUGUACGUAUGUGUCCUGUGGCGGGGAGCGGUGUGCAUUCCGAGAUGUGCGCAGGGUGAACACAGUGUACGUGCAAUGUCCAGGCGUGUGGUGUGCAAGUGUGUGUCUGUGUGUUAUGUGGUGAAUGUGCAGGAAAGGUGUCGCCUUGAGGUGUGGGUAGAGUAUUGUAGGUGCUGGGGGGUUAUGAAUAGGGUAUGCGGGAGAACUGGCUAGAGAUUUCUCUCAGAGGACCAGCCAUGGAGAAGGCCAGGAUGAAGUCUUGGGGAGAACCUCGGGUGAGUUCAGCUCUGAGUCCAUUUCCGUUUUCAGAUCUGGCAGACAAAUCCCUCACACUCAGGUAAAUAAAUUCGGCCUGUGCUCGAGUGCACGAGAAGGGAGAACGUUGUAGUAGCCCAGAUCUGGACUUGGACCACUGGAGGCCUCCCUCUGGCAACCCCGCCCUGGCCUGCAGUCCGGGGUGUGGGUGAUUCAGGCCGCCUGCGCAGCAGCUUCGGAACCGCGGGUUGCCUUGGCUGCGCCUUUAGCUGGGGCUGGGAGAAGCCGGGUCCGAGAGUCGGGAAGAGGGAGAGGUGGAGAGAAUGCGCCUGCGCACGAGUCUUUCCCACAGCAGGUUCAAGUCAGGAAAAGGCCUAGGGACUUUCCUAUUUUUUGCCCUUUAAAGUCAGAGACCCUUCCAAAACUGAGCGCUGUAUUGCCUGGGGAAGCCGCGCCUAUGUGUCCGAGGCAGCUCUGGGGUUCUUGCCCACCCUUCCGGGAAGCCGAUUGCUAGUGGGUGUAUGGAGGCUUUCCAAAGACUCCCGGAGGUUUGCGUGGGUUUCACUUCGGGCCAUAGCUUCAGAAAGAGCGAGCCUGCCUCUCUGUAUUUUUAGCAGGAGGAGCAGAAUUUGAAACAGCAGCAUACCGGUCCUGCGCCUGGUGAAGGAUGACUCGCCAGAAAGCAAAGGCACAGCCCUACCUCCGCGAGCUUGGCGCGUGGCCCAGGAGGCUCCGCGAGCCCUCGUACGUAAGGAUCGCGGCGCCCACGCUUGAGAGCAGAGCUCAGUGCAAACUUCCAACGGUUCUUCCAGUUUCCAGGGAAACGAGAUCUGGAGCUGCUGUGCGUUGCAGAGCUGCCUCUCUGCAACCCACAUGGGACCCCUGUGGCUGGCUGGUCUUGGGGAAGAAGGAGUUGAAGCCACCACAUCCAUGAAGGUUUUGUCUGGAGCCUGUCUGAUCCGAUGCAUUCAGUACUGAAAGCUUUCAGGAACAUUCUUUUACUCACUUCUCAGGACAACCGGUGAGGAACACAGAGAUUUCAGGCGAGCAUCCUGGCGUGUGCUGAGAAGGAGCUCUGCUGCCUGGGAUCUAGGGGAGCGAAAGGAGCUUUCUCUCUGCUUGCAGUGUAAAAUCCCAGGUACAGGGAAUCACCCUGCAGCUUCUGCUCAGCAGUCUUUCUAAAAGGACUGGGAGUUAGCGGAGAGUGGGAGGGGCAAUCUGUGGUCCCGCGACAGCGAAACCGGGGAUGACAUUGAAGCUAACCCAGGUAGGAUUUUAGAGCAGAUUGAAUUGCUUUAUUUCAGGAUCCUUUCACCGAGGAAGAGCUCAUCAUGCUCUGUUGUGAGCCAUCCUCAACUUCCACUUGCAGAGUCUGCUUAACCUUCCAUGCAUGCCAAGGAGGGGACCCAGGGUAGCUGCGGUCUAGUCACGUGACCUGGAGGGUCAGAGGCAGGAAGGAGAGCAACUCCAGAAAGAACCACACCGGUGAGGGAUAACUUUGCCACUUUUCCAGGAAAAUGACAUCAUUAACUACUGUUCAAGUUCCUACAGAGGUCUGGCGGCCUUCUGGGGGCAGGUAUCACUCUCCCACACCAUCACCUUUUAAAUAUUUUAUUAACAUAUGUCUUAGUCUACCUUCUUUUACUGUAACUGAAUAACAUUUACAAAGAACAAUGGUUUAUUUAGCUAACACUUCAGAAGUGCUUGCAACUGUGAAGCCCUUGUGCUGUGUAUAGUAUGGUGUAAGGAAUGACUUGGCAAGACAGAGCAGCCAAAGAGCUUCUUCCACAACAAAACCGCUCAACCAAUUAUAUCCCAAAGGUUCCACCAAACACCAUGAGCAUAUGACUUUGGGGGUCACGUUUCUCGCCUGUGGAUUCUGGGGACAAGCGUUCAUGCAUCACAAGUAGCCAAAUAGUUGAAAUGUUCAUUGUUAAGCCUCACCCCCUCCCGACCCCCCUUUUUUUCCUAGGAACAGCCACGUUAAUCUGUUACUUCACACAGGCAGUGCAGGCAUCCUCUGUGCAAAACACCCAACGGUGAAUCUUCCAAAGAAUUCAUGAAACCGUAGCCGAGUUCUCAGAGACACAACAGUGUUUCUUACUAUGUUCAAAGUCUUAUAGAAUGUAACACAGAAAAUAUUAAAUAUACAAUGUGCUAUCUUCAUGGCAUAGAAACAAGCAUUUAUCUAACUUACGAAAGACAGAAGUGCCCGAGACACGGCCCAGGACCUGUCAGCCAACCAGAGCUUCUUCCUGCACUUGCUUAGGCAUUUGUAGAAGGAAUCUAUCCCAGCCGCUACAGCUGGUCUGGUUUGUUUUCUUUUGUUUGUUCAUUUGUUUUUAUUUUACAGAGAGUCAGAGAGCAUGAUUCUCCCUACCUGGCUUCUUUUGUUCCAUAAAUAAUGUUUGUGGAGCGUGUCCACGAUGCUGCGCACAGCCCUGGCUCACUCAUGGCUGGUAAUGAAACCCUGCAGCUGACCAGUUUCACUGCAGUAAGCAACACAUUGCUUCUUGUUUGGGAAUGGUGUGUCGGGAAUCAUUGAGACACGCAGCUGAGUAACCCUGUCUGAUUAAUACUGUCUUUACUUCUAUUUCCCCCUCUUUGCAUCGAGGUGCAAUUUAUGUACAAUAAGAAUCAUUGAUUUUAACUGUAUGAUUCCACGAGUUUGGACAGCUGCAUACAUUAUACGGACGACCCACUCAUGACUCAAUGCUGGUCCAACUCCUGCAAAUGCUAAGCUCAGCUUUUCCCGACUCCCACCUCGUGCAGUAUACAGGAUUUCCUGUGCAUGGGCAACCUUUUCUGUCUGGCUUCAGUGCCUUUCAGAUUCGUCCAAACUCUCACAUGAAUCGAUUGGUUGUGCUUAUUGCUGAAUAGAAUUCUAGUAAAAAGUGUUUAUCCAUUCACGGCAUGGUGGGCAUUCUGGCUGUCUCUGACGGGGUGACUGACCUGUAUUCAACCGUGGUACCAUGCAGGUUUAAGUCGAUAUGAGCGUGCUUCCAACUCCUUAGGUGUGUGGUAGGAGUGUGAUUGCUGGGCUGCAUCACCACACAUUUACAGUUAUCCUUAAAGAAAACAGAAGAUCAUUAACUAGAAUCAUUUUCCGCCCCCAUCCCCCCGUGCCGUAUGUGUAUACUCCUGGGUUGUGUUUUUAGCAACACAAGGUGUGUCAGCUUCCCUAGCAUGUUGGCCAGCCUGGCGUCCAUAGAUGGAUUCUCAUGGUGGCUUUAAUUUGCAUUGCCUGGUUUUGAAUGCUAUCAACACUUUCACUUAUCUUCAGUAAUGCGCGGGCGCGCGCGCGCGCGCGCACACACACACACACACACACACACACACACACACACACACUUGGUUAGCUUUUUCGAAAAUUACGUGGUCUCUAAGUCUCUAUCAUUUUAUCAACAGUGAAUAGAAGCGUGACUGGAAAUGUGGCGUACGUUGGCCCUGUGGAUUCUCCUGUAAUAGCCCAAGCACAUAUUAUACCUCUUUCAGCUGAUCCCUCGAAAACUCAUCACUACUCAACCUGGUCUCCUCUGGAGUCUAAAUGAAGCACUUAAUGGGAAUCCACCUAAGCCUCCUCUGGCUUCUGUUUAUGACAGUAAAGAGUCCAGGUAAGUCAUGUCAGGGGUAGACAGAGCUGCCAGCUGCCCAUGUCUUAGCGAGAUCAGUGAGCUAUAUCUCCCAAGAGAGAAUUGUCAUUCUGCCUCUCUGCCAUGAGGACACUGCUGGACCACCUCUGCAGGAGCUUGCACUGAUGCUGUGCUAGAAAGAACAAAGACCCUUCUCUGCUUUGGUUUCCUUUAGAAAUGGUUCUGGCUCUGUCUCCCACAUACUCCAGCCUCCCACCACUCCAACUGGGGUGAACUUUCCUUCUACCUGUGGAACACAUCAAAUGGAGUUCUUGUGUUUCCUGUGUUCAUUUUCUCGUCUGAAAUCAUGCUGUUGCUGCUGUCUACCACACUAUGUCCUUGUAUUCCUAGACCUCCAAAACCAGGGCUGGACAGUCCAGGUGGAGCCUUUCUUCCUUAGCAGACGUAAGUAGACACAACCAUCCUGUAGGGCGAACAAGAGCUUGGUGGCUGGACAACCACUUCAGAUUUUCAAAUACACCCUCACAGAGAUGCUCAGGGAUGCUCACUGAAGUUUCAUCUGAGGCAGGGAGUCACAAGAAAGCAGAGAAGGAUGACCCCUGCCAAAACCAUGUUAGAGCAAAGGUGGCAGGGUCUCCCUUCCCUUGAAAUAACUCAAAUGCUGGACAGAGGACAGAAAGCAUGGUUUUCAAAUGCUAAUCAUGAAACAAGGCAAGACUGUGACAGAGAAUCAAAGAAAGCCUCCAGUGCCUCGUGUAACAGCUUAAGAGUUGCCAGCAAUGGUGCCAGCCGAGGAGCCCAGGCAGACUCAAAGAACUUCCCUGGGUUUAAGAGACAUGCUUGUGCUCAAGGGACCAAACUAAAUGUAUACAGGUUUGAUUUUUGUCAAUUAUGCUUCAAUAUAACUAUAAAAACUGGGGUAAAAGCACACUGUAAAAUACUGUCAAUCAGAAGUAACAAAGCUGUAUCUAAUACAUAACUCUAAGUGAGUAAAGAAUCAAUAUUGUCCAACCA